This 450-nucleotide ribosomal RNA is filed under the name uncultured bacterium. Its description in RNAcentral is "bacterial SSU rRNA". It matches the Rfam family "Bacterial small subunit ribosomal RNA", at positions 29 to 524 of the family's 1533-position model. The record is from RNAcentral.
AACGAACGCUGGCGGCAUGCCUAAUACAUGCAAGUCGAACGAAGGCUUCGGCCUUAGUGGCGCACGGGUGCGUAACGCGUGGGAAUCUACCCUUGGGUUCGGAAUAACAGUUAGAAAUGACUGCUAAUACCGGAUGAUGACGUAAGUCCAAAGAUUUAUCGCCCAAGGAUGAGCCCGCGUAAGAUUAGCUAGUUGGUGAGGUAAAGGCUCACCAAGGCUACGAUCUUUAGCUGGUCUGAGAGGAUGAUCAGCCACACUGGGACUGAGACACGGCCCAGACUCCUACGGGAGGCAGCAGUAGGGAAUAUUGGACAAUGGGCGAAAGCCUGAUCCAGCAAUGCCGCGUGAGUGAUGAAGGCCUUAGGGUUGUAAAGCUCUUUUACCCGAGAUGAUAAUGACAGUAUCGGGAGAAUAAGCUCCGGCUAACUCCGUGCCAGCAGCCGCGGUAAU